Molecule: ribosomal RNA, 1344 nt
Filed under: Halobacterium salinarum
Lineage: Archaea; Methanobacteriati; Methanobacteriota; Halobacteria; Halobacteriales; Halobacteriaceae
Description: bacterial SSU rRNA
Rfam family: Archaeal small subunit ribosomal RNA
Source: RNAcentral
UGCUAGUUGUGCGGGUUUAGACCCGCAGCGGAAAGCUCAGUAACACGUGGCCAAGCUACCCUGUGGACGGGAAUACUCUCGGGAAACUGAGGCUAAUCCCCAAUAACGCUUUGCUCCUGGAAGGGGCAAAGCCGGAAACGCUCCGGCGCCACAGGAUGCGGCUGCGGUCGAUUAGGUAGACGGUGGGGUAACGGCCCACCGUGCCCAUAAUCGGUACGGGUUGUGAGAGCAAGAGCCCGGAGACGGAAUCUGAGACAAGAUUCCGGGCCCUACGGGGCGCAGCAGGCGCGAAACCUUUACACUGUACGAAAGUGCGAUAAGGGGACUCCGAGUGUGAAGGCAUAGAGCCUUCACUUUUGUACACCGUAAGGUGGUGCACGAAUAAGGACUGGGCAAGACCGGUGCCAGCCGCCGCGGUAAUACCGGCAGUCCGAGUGAUGGCCGAUCUUAUUGGGCCUAAAGCGUCCGUAGCUGGCUGAACAAGUCCGUUGGGAAAUCUGUCCGCUUAACGGGCAGGCGUCCAGCGGAAACUGUUCAGCUUGGGACCGGAAGACCUGAGGGGUACGUCUGGGGUAGGAGUGAAAUCCUGUAAUCCUGGACGGACCGCCGGUGGCGAAAGCGCCUCAGGAGAACGGAUCCGACAGUGAGGGACGAAAGCUAGGGUCUCGAACCGGAUUAGAUACCCGGGUAGUCCUAGCUGUAAACGAUGUCCGCUAGGUGUGGGCGCAGGCUACGAGCCUGCGCUGUGCCGUAGGGAAGCCGAGAAGCGGACCGCCUGGGAAGUACGUCUGCAAGGAUGAAACUUAAAGGAAUUGGCGGGGGAGCACUACAACCGGAGGAGCCUGCGGUUUAAUUGGACUCAACGCCGGACAUCUCACCAGCCCCGACAGUAGUAAUGACGGUCAGGUUGAUGACCUUACCCGAGGCUACUGAGAGGAGGUGCAUGGCCGCCGUCAGCUCGUACCGUGAGGCGUCCUGUUAAGUCAGGCAACGAGCGAGACCCGCACUCCUAAUUGCCAGCAGUACCCUUUGGGUAGCUGGGUACAUUAGGUGGACUGCCGCUGCCAAAGCGGAGGAAGGAACGGGCAACGGUAGGUCAGUAUGCCCCGAAUGGGCUGGGCAACACGCGGGCUACAAUGGUCGAGACAAUGGGAAGCCACUCCGAGAGGAGGCGCUAAUCUCCUAAACUCGAUCGUAGUUCGGAUUGAGGGCUGAAACUCGCCCUCAUGAAGCUGGAUUCGGUAGUAAUCGCGUGUCAGCAGCGCGCGGUGAAUACGUCCCUGCUCCUUGCACACACCGCCCGUCAAAUCACCCGAGUGGGGUUCGGAUGAGGCCGGCAUGCGC